Cordylochernes scorpioides is the source of this 73-nucleotide non-coding RNA. The record is from the annotation of a GenBank genome assembly. Lineage: Eukaryota; Metazoa; Arthropoda; Arachnida; Pseudoscorpiones; Chernetidae.
UCCAGGAUAGCCUAGUGGACUUAGCACCUGCCAGGUUAGCAGAAGGUUGUGGGUUCGAUUCCCGCUCCUGGAC